UACAGAGGUGGCAAGAGUUGUUCGGAUUUACUGGGCGUAAAGGGCGCGUUGGCGGUCUUGUAAGUCCCGUGUGAAAGCCCCCGGCUCAACUGGGGAAUGGCACGGGAAACUGCGAGGCUUGAGUUCGGGAGAGGGAAGCGGAAUUCCGGGUGUAGCGGUGAAAUGCGUAGAUAUCCGGAGGAACACCGGUGGCGAAGGCGGCUUCCUGGACCGACACUGAAGCUGAGGCGCGAAAGCUAGGGGAGCAAACGGG
This 253-nucleotide ribosomal RNA is filed under the name uncultured bacterium. RNAcentral's name for it is "partial 16S ribosomal RNA". It matches the Rfam family "Bacterial small subunit ribosomal RNA", at positions 524 to 776 of the family's 1533-position model. The record is from RNAcentral.